GGUCGGGAUAGCUCAGUUG
RNAcentral lists this transfer RNA (19 nucleotides) under Hemerocallis citrina. Its description in RNAcentral is "partial tRNA-Phe". Lineage: Eukaryota; Viridiplantae; Streptophyta; Magnoliopsida; Asparagales; Asphodelaceae. The record is from RNAcentral.